This 454-nucleotide ribosomal RNA is filed under the name uncultured bacterium. RNAcentral describes it as "bacterial SSU rRNA". It matches the Rfam family "Bacterial small subunit ribosomal RNA", at positions 58 to 507 of the family's 1533-position model. The record is from RNAcentral.
CAAGUCGAACGGUAGCGGGCCUUCGGGUGCCGACGAGUGGCGAACGGGUGAGUAAUGUAUCGGAACGUACCAUUGAGUGGGGGAUAACGUAGCGAAAGUUACGCUAAUACCGGCAUAUUCUCUCCGGAGGAAAGCAGGGGACCGCAAGGCCUUGCGCUCUUUGAGCGGCCGAUAUCAGAUUAGCUAGUUGGUGAGGUAAAGGCUCACCAAGGCGACGAUCUGUANCGGGUCCUGAGAGGAUGAUCCGCCACACUGGAACUGAGACACGGUCCAGACUCCUACGGGAGGCAGCAGUGGGGAAUUUUGGACAAUGGGGGCAACCCUGAUCCAGCCAUGCCGCGUGAGUGAAGAAGGCCUUCGGGUUGUAAAGCUCUUUCGGCCGGGAAGAAAUCGCAUGGGUUAAUACCCUGUGCGGAUGACGGUACCGGCAUAAGAAGCACCGGCUAACUACGUG